RNAcentral lists this ribosomal RNA (253 nucleotides) under uncultured bacterium. RNAcentral's name for it is "partial 16S ribosomal RNA". It matches the Rfam family "Bacterial small subunit ribosomal RNA", at positions 524 to 776 of the family's 1533-position model. The record is from RNAcentral.
UACGGGGGGGGCAAGCGUUGUUCGGAAUUACUGGGCGUAAAGGGCUCGUAGGCGGCCAACUAAGUCGGACGUGAAAUCCCUCGGCUUAACCGGGGAACUGCGUCCGAUACUGGAUGGCUUGAGAUUGGGAGAGGGAUGCGGAAUUCCAGGUGUAGCGGUGAAAUGCGUAGAUAUCUGGAGGAACACCGGUGGCGAAGGCGGCAUCCUGGACCGACACUGACGCUGAGGAGCGAAAGCCAGGGGAGCAAACGGG